AUUGAACGCUGGCGGCAUGCCUUACACAUGCAAGUCGAACGGCAGCACGGGAGCAAUCCUGGUGGCGAGUGGCGAACGGGUGAGUAAUAUAUCGGAACGUGCCCAGUCGUGGGGGAUAACGUAGCGAAAGCUACGCUAAUACCGCAUACGAUCUACGGAUGAAAGCGGGGGAUCGCAAGACCUCGCGCGAUUGGAGCGGCCGAUAUCAGAUUAGGUAGUUGGUGAGGUAAAGGGCUCACCAAGCCGACGAUCUGUAGCUGGUCUGAGAGGACGACCAGCCACACUGGGACUGAGACACGGCCCAGACUCCUACGGGAGGCAGCAUGGGGAAUUUUGGACAAUGGCGCAAGCCUGAUCCAGCAAUGCCGCGUGCAGGAUGAAGG
RNAcentral lists this ribosomal RNA (383 nucleotides) under uncultured bacterium. Its description in RNAcentral is "bacterial SSU rRNA". It matches the Rfam family "Bacterial small subunit ribosomal RNA", at positions 29 to 414 of the family's 1533-position model. The record is from RNAcentral.